GACAAACGCUGGCGGCGUGCUUAACACAUGCAAGUCGAACGGGUCUGCCCUGUUUUUUGCGGGGUGGGUCAGUGGCGAACGGGUGAGUAACACGUGAGUAACCUGCCCCUCACUUCUGGAUAACCGCUUGAAAGGGUGGCUAAUACGGGGUGUUCUGGCUGUGCCGCAUGGUGUGGCUGGGAAAGAUUCACUUUUGUGGUGUUUUGGUGGGGGAUGGGCUCGCGGCCUAUCAGCUUGUUGGUGGGGUGAUGGCCUGCCAAGGCUUUGACGGGUAGCCGGCCUGAGAGGGUGGGCGGUCACACUGGGACUGAGAUACGGCCCAGACUCCUGCGGGAGGCAGCAGUGGGGGGUAUUGCACAAUGGGCGGAAGCCUGAUGCAGCGACGUCGCGUGAGGGAUGGAGGCCUUCGGGUUGUGAACCUCUUUCGCCGGUGAAGAAGGUCCUGCUCUUUGUGGUGGGGUUGACGGUAGCCGGGUUAUGAAGCGCCGGCUAACUACGUG
This 500-nucleotide ribosomal RNA is filed under the name uncultured bacterium. RNAcentral describes it as "partial 16S ribosomal RNA". It matches the Rfam family "Bacterial small subunit ribosomal RNA", at positions 28 to 507 of the family's 1533-position model. The record is from RNAcentral.